Molecule: long non-coding RNA, 7295 nt
Organism: Bubalus bubalis (water buffalo)
Lineage: Eukaryota; Metazoa; Chordata; Mammalia; Artiodactyla; Bovidae
Exons: 4
Source: RefSeq, a predicted model, not a curated record
UCAAUGGACAUUGAGUUUGAGUAAACUCUGGGAAUUGGUGAUGGACCGGGAGGUUCGACAUGCUGCAGUCCAUGGGGUCACAAAGAGUCGGACACGACUGAGCAACUUAACUGAACUGAUCUGAAUGAGCAGAAAGGCUGAGUUGAAGCCCCAGGAAAGGAGUGGGUUGCUGUCCACAUUAGGGCAUGGAAUUUGGAUACCAGGACACAUUCUUCCCAGAUCUGCUUCUCUCACUGAGAGGAGGCUGAGAAUACAGAGAAGAUAAAAGGAAGCAGGUUUCUGCAGGUGCCCACUCCUCUCUUAUUAGGCUUCAUUCAGCUCUAUAAUGCAGGAAUCCCACUUCUAAGGCUGAUGAUGAGGACUGGUGAGCACUGGGUAAGAAAUCAGGAUUCCAGUAUGCCCUGCAACCUACUUGUUCUUGGAUACAAGGUAGGUUAUUCACUCUGCCACCCUGGAUUUCUUAAUCUAUGAAUGUGGGCCAGCUAUACUUCCCUCACGGGUGUUAAAGGGGAAGCACAUGGGAAGAUCUGAGCUCACCAGGUGGCACUGUGAGCAUUUUCUGUAUUGUACAUGGUUGGCUGAAUUCAUGUGUGUGUUUUCCAUGAAACUAUGAGCUCUUUGAAGGCAGGAACCAAGUCUUACUUAUCUUUACUUCCUGAGAGUCUGGAAUAUGAUAGACAAUAAAUAAUAUUCACUGAUAAGAAAAGAAAGAUAUUUAGUGCACAUUUACUAUGAAAAUGAAUUCUGUAAUGCGAAUAAUUCCUGGAGGAAAAACCAUGAAAAGAAUAAAGACAAAAUCAUGGUUUAUUGGUCCCUACGAAGGUUGGGUUUGCCUAUGCAGAUAGGACAUAGGCUACUUCUAAAGCAUUAGCAUGCUAUAAAGCAAUAUGUCAGUAAGUUCUUAUAACAUAGAGCAGGAGAUGUGUGUCACAGUAAUUGGGCAAAGCUUGUUCAUACACAGCUCUUCAUAUAUCCUUUUAAGUAAAUAAAGAAUAUCUUCCAACGACAGAAGUGUUCUCAUAUUUCUCAAGCAUGUUAUUUUCCCACUUCAUCGAGAAAAUUAUAUGAAUUUGACUUUAAUCCACUGGAUAGAAGUUCUUUGAAUUCCAAACACAAAUACAGAAGCACAGUUAUUAGUUUAGCUGAAACAUCUGUUUCCAACUUCCUGAAAGGAAAAGGAGAGGUUGCCAAUGUAUAUAUAUAUAUUUGAAACAGGGUUUAUACUGCAGACAUGGAUACAAUACACAUUUGUAAAAAUUUUCCAAGAGGUCUAAGGUCCAUUUGGUCAGGAGAAAUAAGAUGAUGGAACCAUGUGAUGUAAGAAAAUAAUUACUGCAACCUCCUCCUAGGAAUUCUAGUUUCUAAGAGAGAGUGUCGAGAUCACCACUCAAUGGUCAGUACAAGCCAGAUUCUGGCCAUUUGGUCUGAUGUUUACCUGUGGGUAAUGCACUUCUGAAUGAUUCCAUCUCUCCCAAAAGAAGGAAGAAAAUGUUCUGUUAAUAGUUGGGAUGGGGGGGAAUGACUUUGCAUAUGAAACUAUAGCUCUGAGUUCUGGCAGAUUUUCAUUUACAAAUUUUCUUUAUGCUUUUGGGAAAGGCAUCUCCUCAUUCCAUCCUUCUGGGUCUAAAUUCUUUCACCCGUGAAAUGAAAGACAGUGACAGGAAAUGGAUCAAAGAUUCUGGAUUCCUGAUCUCUUGAAAUGGCUCCUGCCUGACAACUAAAGCCCCAAAGCCAAUAUGAGCUGGUUACAGAGGAAGAGAAGCUGAGAACUCAGAUCAGCAGGUCAGACCAUAAAGGAUCUUCUUACUAUAUCAUGAAGAGCAUUGAAUGAAUGAAUGAAUUUUGGAUAUAGGGACGCACUGCCUAACAUCGUUGAACUUCAGUUUUCUUGUUGAUGAUGAAGAGUAAAUAGAAGGAGACAUCACUACAGAAGAGAUCCAUUGGCCUGGAAAGAUGCUGUCUCUCCCUCCUUACCCUCAUCACAACCCUGUUUGCAAUCUGGCUCAUCCAUCUGACUCCUGCAUAGACAGAAACCAAACCCCUGGAGGCAAGAAUAAAAUACUCCUUCCUGUAUUCUGAGCAUCUAGUCUUUCAAAAAGGGUCUUCCAAAAAGUCUAUGUUUCUGAGUGAAUAAAGAAACAAAUCGUCCCAAAUAGACAUGAAUUCGUCCCUCAUGUUGUCCUUAAGAGAAUUUGUAAGAUUUGAGUUAAAAAAUAUCCAUUGUAAUGUGAGUAUGUUUGUGGUGGGCCCUUUGGGACAUGGCUCCCAGUGUCUCCACCACCUGCCUCCUCUCUGUCCACACUCCUGCGUCAUCACUUCCCCUUAAAACUGGGUUGAAUGCAGUGACGUAAUGUGAAUGAAGAGGGUGUGGCAAAGUAAUGGGGUGAUGCACUGUGGCUUGGUUAUAAAAGAUCAUGACGUCCCUCCCUGGAUCUUUGCACAGGUUGGCUCUGAUGCAGAGGUCACCUGGCCGGGAACUGAGGGAGGCUUCCAUCCAUCACCCAGCUAGAACCCAGAUCCUCAAACUCACAGGCUUAAUGGAGCCAAAUCCUGUCUACAACCACUGAGUGAGUGUGGACGCAGAUCCUCCAGUUGAACCUGGAGAUGACUGUAACCCUCAAUGGCAGCCUUGUGAGAGGCCCCAAAGCAGAUGAGCCACACCUAGGUCACUGAUCUGCCAAACAUACUAGAAAAUACACGAGUAUUGUUUUAAGCCAUUUAUUUUGGAGAUAUUUGUUUAGUAAUAGAUAAAUAAUGAAAUGUUCAUGUUUUGAGUACAAUUAAAAAUUUAGAGAAGGAAUACAUGAAAGAAAUGAUUAGCAUGAUAUAUUUUGUUUUUGCUCUGAUGUGCUGAUCAUGACACAUGGGUUCUGUGUUUGUGGGAGCGCAUGAAACAGCAGCAGGGCAGAGUGAAAAGAACUGAUUUUUUUUUUUUUUUAGAAUGAGUGAAAAAGAACUGAGUGCAAACUUAAGCUCUGCCAGUAAUGGUCUGUUGGAAUUUUGAUUAAUUUCCAAAUUGGUUCAUACCAAUAUUGUGUCUCUCACUACCCUGAGGAUAAAUGGGAGAGUGAACCUGACAAUGAAUUUUGAAUCAUAAGGUUAUAAAGUGCCAGAGCUCAAGGAAAUAUUGUGGUAACCUGAUGUCAUAGAAUUUCUUAAACUCAUUGCAAAUGUUUCUGUAUAGGAGGGUAACAUAUAAACUGAAAAAAACUACAUAAAUAAAAUAAAUAAUCUUUUAAGUGGUAAUCUAUUUUCUAUGUCAUCCUGUACAAGGAAUCCUCUCCAUGUGAUCAGAAUUCUCUUUUAUUUCUCUGACCCAUGACAAAGGAACAGACUCUCUAUCACAGAGAGUCCUCUAAAAGCAGAGUGUUCCUAGGAUAUUUAAAGUGGAAAGAGCUAGUGCCCCAAGGAGAGCAAUGAGCUUUUAUGGGAAAUGACAUUUAGAGUAUGAGAUCUGAUCCUACAUAAUACAAUUUUCUCUUUGAACAGUGACCAAUAAAACUCAAUUCCAUUGUGAUAAUAUUUUUAUUUGCAGUCUAUUUUAGGGUUGUCAUUAAUCAUGUGUUCAGACAGUAACAAGACUCCUAGAAAAGUGAAGAUUUAAAUAUGUGAAUAUGGCCUCCUGAAAAUUACCAAGGCAGUAAAAUUUUACAAAAUAUCUAUAUCGCUAAAAGUGAAUAUUAUUUUUAGUGCCUGGAUUUUAAAAAAUAAGCUUUGCACUUAUAAAUGUAUUUAUUGAAGCACAAGGUAAGUGCAAUUUGCCCUUUCUUGGACAUAAUUUUCUUUUUUUCCAAUCUCCUCCCAUUUUUCUUCUCAACUUAAUGGUGAUCACCUUGAGGCUAUAUGAAAUGAUAAUUGGGAAAGCCAUGACAUUCAUGAAAGACUCUAGAUUUGAGCAGUUUAGUUCAACUGAGACUACAUACUGGGUUUUAGUCACUAAAAUCACUAAAAAUCUCUUUCAAUUGUAAGUGUUACUUUUUGAGAUCUGGUAGCAGCUUGCUUUUCUAAUACUGUAGAACCCUCUAUCUUUGGAUUUUCUCAAUUUUUAUAGACAUCUAUUUGAAAAUCAGUCCUGUUCUUGCCUGAACCUUUUUUUUUUUUUUUUUUUGUAAUACUGUGCUAAGUAAAAUCAAUAUAAUUUGACAUGCAAAUAUUGUAACUUUUUCCAACUAUUUCUUCUAGAGCUACAGAAAUCAAGUUGACUGAGGGCAACCAUUUACUAAAUAUUCUAUCAUAGUAAGUCAAAGUUCUUCACUCUUCCGACCUAAUUUAUCUUUACCUGCCACCCUCAAAUUAGCCACUAAACCAAUACCAAGGUAUCAGCUUCUAUAAUAGUUGUGGGGCAGCAUGUGCUUUUGAAACAAAUAAACCUUCACACCUUAGUAGCUUAACAUUAUAGGUAUUUAUUUUUAAGUUAUAUGAAGUCUAAUAUGGUGUUCUGUGGUGGCUUUCUAAAGAUAAUGUAGGAUCCAUUGCAGUGUCUCUAUUUAGUUUUUCCACUAUAACCUAGGAGAAUGGAGUCCCAUGCACCAGUGGACAAGGAGGAAAGGAUAAGAAACCAUUUGUCAGAAGCUAUUAUAAUACAGGCUGAGAAACAGUAUAUGUCAUGUUCAUCUACAUUUUCAUUGGCUAGAAAUAAGUUACACAUAGUCAUAUGAGCUCUAAUGAAGGCUGGGAAAUGUUAUGUAGCAGUGCGUUCAGGGAUAAGAGGAAAUACAUCUGUGAAUAUCUAGGCAGCCUCUAUCACAUUUACAGAAAAAUAAAUAGCUAACAUGCUAGUCUAUUAAAGGAAGAAAUAGAACUUUACAGUAAACUCAUUAAUCUGACACAGCUCAUUUUUUAUGUGUCUGUCUAAACUCUCCUCUUAGAAUCUGCUGGAAUGAAUCUAGCUGGGGCCUGGCCUGAGCACGGUGGUGAGGAAACUCAUGACAAGUUUAAAAAGAGUGGGACCAAGGAUGUUUGAAUGCUGGUUUCAAAGACCAAAGACAAAUGGACAUCAUGCUGGUCUUUCUAUCAGGGCAUUGGUCAAAAAUGGAUGGGAAGAGACAUGAAAAUCCACUUAGAGACUUCCCUGGUGGCUCAGUGGUAAAGAAUCCACCUGCCAAUGCAGGAGACACAGGAUCAGUCCCUGGACCAGGAAGACUUCUCAUGCUGCAGAGAAACUAAGUCCAUGGAUCACAGCUAUGGAGCCUGUGCUCUAGAGCCUGGGAGCCACAACUACGGAGCUCAUGGGCUGCGAAUGCUAAGGCCUGUGUGCCUAGAACCCGGGCUCAGCAACAAGGGAAGCCAUGGCAAUAAGUCCGUAAACCCGCUCGCCACAACUAGAGAAAAGCCCACAUAGCAUAGCUUAAAACAAAUUAAUGACUUAAAAAAAUAAAAACAACUUUAAAAGUCAAAACUCAGGGUCGAGCGCUCUGAGAAGAAUUGGCUCAGAUGCUAAAGAAUCCACCCGCAAUGCAGGAGACCCAGUUUCGAUCACUGGGUGGGGAAUAUCCGCUGGAGAAGGGAAUGGCAACCCACUCCAGUAUUCUUGCCUGGAAAACUCCAUGGACAGAGGAGCCUGGUGGGCCGCAGUCCAUGGGGUCUCAAGGAGUUGGGCAUAGCUGAGGACUAACACAAAUGAAUGACUAACACUUAAGGAUGCUAAAGAUCAAAAUAUAUGGACUAGGGAUGGAAGAGCAGAGUAGGCAAACGUGUCUGAGAUGCUUCCACAAAGUCCAAGGCCAUUUGAAUUCUUAACUCCUGUUAGAAGUGGGGAAUGAGAUUUUCAGAGCUCUGAGUGCAUCAGGAUAGCACUGGCUGAAAGUGACAGAGCUUUGUUUUCUUCUUUGUAAACAUGUAAUAAAUCCUCAAAACCUAAACGGGGAAUAUGUUCACAAGUACUAGCAUCGCCUUCACUGUCACAUUUUUCCUGGCUUUGCAGAGGUUAAAGGGAUUAUGGCAUGGCAGCUUCCAAGCCUGGAAAAAAGAGGUAAUCAAAUUGGCUCACAUCCCAGGGAAACUGUGAGGUCUUACUCAGCUUGAGUGCCAGCGGAAAGAAGCAUUUUGAAAUGCAAACCGGGAGGGAAAAGUCCAGAAACUCUGUGACCAGGAACUCUCUCUGAGAAGCGACUAAUCAUAGGGUUUCCGCCCAACUCAGAAAGGUUACUCCCCUGGUUUCCUCCUCCAAGUUGUAUAAAAAAAUAGGACAUUGCGCCUCACAUUGUAUUUUUACCCUGACCUUGCCAGUCAUCCGGACAAGAUUUAAGAAAUGCAGGAGGAGUGGUCACUGCCUGACCAUGGGCUGUGGAACAGCAUAAAGAGGAAAGAAGCCUGCAGUGGGGAUCCAAGGACCCUAACUGGAGUCCAGGCCAACCAGUGUUUGGCCAGCGGCCAGUCACUUGACCUCGCAGAGCUUUAGCUCUUCCAUCUCUAAGAUGUUUACAGGAUAUUCCUCAAGAACAAGGACAGUAUUACCUUUCCUAUGUGUCCUCAGGCUCAGUGCAAAUACUCAGUAAAUUGAGAUUAUAAACAAGGAAACAAACAAAUGAUGUUCCAGAUCAUGGAUGUGUUGGUGUUUGGAUUACAGUAAGAUUAUUCAUAAGACUUUUAAUACAGUUAUCAUAUACAUGUUCUACAAGUUAGUAUUCCAUUAAACUUGAUCCUUAUAAAGGCAGGUUCCAUGAGGGAUAGCGGUUUAAUCAAUUGUCUAUCCCUAUCUACGUCUUCUCUUUCUACAGAAUUCCUUAAACCCAAGCAACGAGCUCUGGGUGGAUGGCAGGCAGGCACAGAGCUGUGCACUCUGAGAAGACUUGGAUCAGAUGAUAAAGAAUCCACCUGCAAUGCAGGAGACCCAGUUUCGAUCCCCAGGUUGGGAAGAUCCCUUGGAGAAGGGAAUGGCUACCCCCUCCAGUAUUCUUCCCUGGAAAAUCCCAAGGACAGAGGAGGCCGGUGGGCUACAGUUACGGUCUACGGGGUCGCAAGAAGUUGGACAUGACUGAGUGACUAACACUCACUUUCAGCUGGAGAGUAAACCAGUACCCUCUCGUCUGUGAGAAGCCCUUCUGUCCUCUUUGGAGGGCUGUGCAGCUCUGUGACAGGCACUCAGUAAGAAGGGAAAAGGUCUGAUAGGGUCCUCCUGCCCUCAUUGUCAUUCUGCAUCAGGUUCCCAACUAUAUCACCCUUGACUCAGGGACCUCAACCUGGGGCUCUGUAAUAACCUAGAGGGGUGGGAUGGGGACAGAAGUGCAGGGAUGUUCAAGUGGGAGGUGACAUGGGUAAACCUAUGGCUGAUCCGUGUUGAUGUUUCGUAGAAA